GUGUUGUAUUAAAGGAGAGAAGGUUAGCACUCCCCUUGACAAGGAUGGAAGAGGCCCUUGGGCCUGGCAAGAUAUCCUUGU
This is a small nuclear RNA of Heterocephalus glaber (naked mole-rat), 81 nucleotides long. NCBI's taxonomy places the organism in Eukaryota, Metazoa, Chordata, Mammalia, Rodentia, Bathyergidae. The record is from Ensembl.